CCUACGGGAGACAGCAGUGAGGAAUAUUGGUCAAUGGGCGGGAGCCUGAACCAGCCAAGUCGCGUGAGGGACGAAGGUCCUAUGGAUUGUAAACUUCUUUUAUAUGGGAAUAAAACAGGGUAUGCAUACCCUCUUGUAUGUCCCAUAUCAAUAAGGAUCGGCUAACUCCGUGCCAGCAGCCGCGGUAAUAAGGAGGAUCCGAGCGUUAUCCGGAUUUAUUGGGUUUAAAGGGAGCGUAGGUGGAUUGUUAAGUCAGUUGUGAAAGUUUGCGGCUCAACCGUAAAAUUGCAGUUGAAACUGGCAGUCUUGAGUACAGUAGAGGUGGGCGGAAUUCGUGGUGUAGCGGUGAAAUGCUUAGAUAUCACGAAGAACUCCGAUGGCGAAGGCAGCUCACUGGACUGCAACUGACACUGAGGCGCGAAAGUGUGGGUAGCAAACAGGAUUAGAUACCCGGGUAGUC
This 460-nucleotide ribosomal RNA is filed under the name uncultured bacterium. Its description in RNAcentral is "partial 16S ribosomal RNA". It matches the Rfam family "Bacterial small subunit ribosomal RNA", at positions 338 to 795 of the family's 1533-position model. The record is from RNAcentral.